AUAGAAAUGAAACUGGAUGAAAUAAUAAAAAGGAAUCCCCCCCCCCUCAUCAGAUCAAGAUGGUACAGUCCAAUUUCCUCUGGAACAGCACAAAAAUAGAGGCUGAAGCCCCGCCUCUUCCUUUGUUGGCCAUCACAUGGAAUGCGGCCGCUCACUCCAUGGACCAGAGGAAUCCAGGACUCAGAACUGCCUUAAUUCUAUGUGGUGAAUUAUCCUGCUGGAAGUUGCCAUCAGAGAAUGGGUACAAAGUGGCCUUAAAAGGAUGAACAUGGUCAGAAACAAUUAUCAGAUAUCGAGACUCAUCAGACCAGGCAACAUUUUUCCAGUGUUCAACUGUCCAAUUUUGGUAAGCUCUUGCAAAUUGUAUGCGUAGUGACGUGCAUGUUCAAGUAAGCCAGAUAUAUGCAUAUUCAGCGCCAUACAUUGUAUUUAAUUUUUCAUGAUGACCCACGAGUUUAGUAUUUGUGCUAAAUCUGCGCAGAUUUGCCAUACACAAACUUCCCCAGCAAAGUAAAUGAACAUAAGACGAAUUAAUGGCUGGUAACGCCAAAUUGGCUAGUGAUUCGACAACGUUACUUGCCAUAGGUGAUGUUUACCCGCAUUUGGCGGGUUGGCGGGUGUUAAUUUCAAACUCUGAUUGUGAUGCUCGGUGACUGACGUUUGUCUAACUCUGCAUAGCAUGAAACAUGCUGAUGCAACGCAUUCUCAUCCCAAGGCGUCAUAUAUGACGCUUUUGCCAAAA
This is a long non-coding RNA of Pimephales promelas (fathead minnow), 742 nucleotides long. RefSeq lists it as uncharacterized. Lineage: Eukaryota; Metazoa; Chordata; Actinopteri; Cypriniformes; Leuciscidae. The record is from RefSeq and is a predicted model, not a curated record.